This 253-nucleotide ribosomal RNA is filed under the name uncultured bacterium. Its description in RNAcentral is "partial 16S ribosomal RNA". It matches the Rfam family "Bacterial small subunit ribosomal RNA", at positions 524 to 776 of the family's 1533-position model. The record is from RNAcentral.
UACGUAGGGGGCAAGCGUUAUCCGGAAUUACUGGGUGUAAAGGGAGCGUAGACGGUAAUGUAAGCCUGGAGUGAAAGGCGGGGGCCCAACCCCCGGACUGCUCUGGAAACUAUGUUACUAGAGUGCAGGAGAGGUAAGCGGAAUUCUUAGUGUAGCGGUGAAAUGCGUAGAUAUUAGGAGGAACACCAGUGGCGAAGGCGGCUUACUGGACUGUAACUGACGUUGAGGCUCGAAAGCGUGGGGAGCAAACAGG